Molecule: ribosomal RNA, 512 nt
Filed under: Staphylococcus aureus
Lineage: Bacteria; Bacillati; Bacillota; Bacilli; Caryophanales; Staphylococcaceae
Description: bacterial SSU rRNA
Rfam family: Bacterial small subunit ribosomal RNA
Source: RNAcentral
GGGGGACAAAGUGACAGGUGGUGCAUGGUUGUCGUCAGCUCGUGUCGUGAGAUGUUGGGUUAAGUCCCGCAACGAGCGCAACCCUUAAGCUUAGUUGCCAUCAUUAAGUUGGGCACUCUAAGUUGACUGCCGGUGACAAACCGGAGGAAGGUGGGGAUGACGUCAAAUCAUCAUGCCCCUUAUGAUUUGGGCUACACACGUGCUACAAUGGACAAUACAAAGGGCAGCGAAACCGUGAGGUCAAGCAAAUCCCAUAAAGUUGUUCUCAGUUCGGAUUGUAGUCUGCAACUCGACUACAUGAAGCUGGAAUCGCUAGUAAUCGUAGAUCAGCAUGCUACGGUGAAUACGUUCCCGGGUCUUGUACACACCGCCCGUCACACCACGAGAGUUUGUAACACCCGAAGCCGGUGGAGUAACCUUUUAGGAGCUAGCCGUCGAAGGUGGGACAAAUGAUUGGGGUGAAGUCGUAACAAGGUAGCCGUAUCGGAAGGUGCGGCUGGAUCACCUCCUUU